AUUGAACGCUGGCGGCAGGCCUAACACAUGCAAGUCGAGCGAGCGGCGCACGGGGGAGAUAUGUCUGGGAAACUGCCUGAUGGAGGGGGAUAACUACUGGAAACAGUAGCUAAUACCGCAUACCAUCAGAUGUGCCCAGAUGGGAUUAGCUAGUAGGUGGGGUAAUGGCUCAACUAGGCGACGAUCCCUAGCUGGUCUGAGAGGAUGACCAGCCACACUGGAGCUAAGACACGGUCCAGACUCCGACGUGAGGCAGCAGUGGGGAAUAGUGAACAAUGGGCGCAAGCCUGAUGCAGCCAUGCCGCGUGUGUGAAGAAGGCCUUCGGGUUGUAAAGCACUUUCAGCGGGGAGGCGUUACCCGCAGAAGAAGCACCGGCUAACUCCGUGCCAGCAGCCGCGGUAAUUC
RNAcentral lists this ribosomal RNA (406 nucleotides) under uncultured bacterium. RNAcentral's name for it is "partial 16S ribosomal RNA". It matches the Rfam family "Bacterial small subunit ribosomal RNA", at positions 30 to 526 of the family's 1533-position model. The record is from RNAcentral.